CACAAGUUCAAAUGUGUAUGGAGAUUUUCUGACAUAUUCACAAAACCUGCUUUGAGAGCUUAUGGAACGGUUACUACACUUACUGCUAUGGAGAACUGCUAUGGAAGAACAAACUUUUAUUUUCUACCUGCCCACAGAGAGAUUAAAAUGGCCCAUGUGCAGAUCACUACUGCAAAACAUGCUGACACUCUGGAAACAAAACAAAUCUGUCCCCAGGGCAGUGCUGAGUGGUGAUGAAGAGCUCCAUUCCCCUAUUGGCUGUCUCUGUGGUGUCCAGGGACUCAGGGAAGCAGCUGGCUAGGUAGCGGCUCAGA
Long non-coding RNA from Dama dama (fallow deer), 314 nucleotides. RefSeq lists it as uncharacterized. NCBI's taxonomy places the organism in Eukaryota, Metazoa, Chordata, Mammalia, Artiodactyla, Cervidae. The record is from RefSeq and is a predicted model, not a curated record. The transcript is spliced from 3 exons.